RNAcentral lists this ribosomal RNA (188 nucleotides) under uncultured bacterium. RNAcentral describes it as "partial 16S ribosomal RNA". It matches the Rfam family "Bacterial small subunit ribosomal RNA", at positions 1314 to 1500 of the family's 1533-position model. The record is from RNAcentral.
GCCUACAUGAAGCUGGAGUUACUAGUAAUCGCAGAUCAGAAUGCUGCGGUGAAUGCGUUCCCGGGUCUUGUACACACCGCCCGUCACACCACGGAAGUUGGGGCGCCCGAAGCCACUUAGCUAACCCAUUUGGGAAGCGAGUGUCGAAGGUGAAAUCAAUAACUGGGGUGAAGUCGUAACAAGGUAAC